GGGCUACAUGACAAGGAACAAGUAUUAAGUAUCCAUCAUAUCUUAGUUAUAUAAAAAAGUUGUGCCAUGCAAUAACUACAUAAAUGUUGACCCAUACAAAUAUAUAACUUUUGCUGCAGAUAAUUCAAUUCGCACAUUACUUUCUCUCAUCAAGUCCCAUCCAUUGACUCAAGUUAUUCAAAAGCAAAAGGUGCAAAUAAGGCAAUAGGUUCCCUGAUUGCCUGAGGUGCCAGGCCCAACAAAAUGUACUAUAUAUUGUUUGAAUUGACGCCAUGGGAAGUGACAAAGUUAAGCUGGUUGACACCUACCACAAGCCUCCUUAUGUGGGUUUUGAAACUGACUAUAUGACCUAACCAAGGCUAUAAAACAAGUACAAGUAGAGUAAGCAAAGGGAUAAUAUAUUAGCAGCAUUCCAUAGCAAAGAA
This 425-nucleotide unclassified non-coding RNA is filed under the name Hevea brasiliensis (rubber tree). The record is from RNAcentral. Lineage: Eukaryota; Viridiplantae; Streptophyta; Magnoliopsida; Malpighiales; Euphorbiaceae.